Rhinolophus ferrumequinum (greater horseshoe bat) is the source of this 161-nucleotide small nucleolar RNA. The record is from Ensembl. NCBI's taxonomy places the organism in Eukaryota, Metazoa, Chordata, Mammalia, Chiroptera, Rhinolophidae.
AACUAUAAAAUACUUAGGAAUAAAUUUAAACAAAGAAGUACUGCAAUAAUGCUAGCAGAGUACACACAAGAAGAAAAGUAACUGCACUAGAUUGUAAAGACUGGGGUGGACCUCUUUCUUAAAGUCCAGUGUCCUUUGUCUUAAGAUUUGGUGCAAUAUGU